UGAUUAGAAUUAUAGAAAUGUACAGCAUUCACAUAACAAGCAACAUCGGAGUAACAUCAAGGUGUAGCAACGUGUUCCUAAAUCAAUAUUGAAGUCGACAAAAUUUCCAGGACCAGAGUUCGCAAUUAGCUAGAAGCGAAGAGGAUACCUCAUACAACUUUGAUUAUACACCAGAAAUAGAAACCAAAUCCUUUGCAUCGAUGGAGAACGAUUUGGAAAUGAUGGAGUACUUUCGUCGCAUUAUGGAAUGCAUUGUAUGCCGCGAGGUGCCCCAUCCAAAUGAUACAUAUCUGUGUAGUCAUGACCAUGUGCUUUGUGAUUAUUGUGUGACUCGUAUAAUCAUUGAAUCUUCGAUACAUCAUAAUGAGGCGCAGUGUCCCCAGUGUCAUGUCGGAAUUGGAUGGAAUGAACUGCAGAGAGGUUUAACAUUGUAAACAAUAAUGACGCUACCUAUGAUCAUCUAAAUUUAUAUGUUAAGAUUUCAGAUCUUUUUGGACUUGUUCAUUUGAAAUUUAAUCGCAACUCAACUGUACCUCCCGCAAUGAACCAAUUUAAUUAACUGCGUCCCCUACAAAAAAAAAACAAAAAACACGACAUGAAUUUAAUUGCCUAAACAAUUCUAAUCAACAUGAACACACACACAGAAACACAAACACACAAUGAGAACGAAAAUGACCCAAAAAUUUUCGCUGAUUGCAUUUAAUAAUAAAAAUCGAAUAUUACCGACGCACUUGAAGGCCAUCAAAAGCAAAUAGCAAAUUCAUUCGCCACCCCGAAAAAUGGCAAACGAAACCAAAAUCAAAAUCGAAAAUGGAAUCAAAUCGAAACGCACACGAGAGAAUGAUGACGACAAUGGCAACUUAAUUUCUGUCAUAGAAAAAGAGUCGAGCAGCAGGCAGGCAGUAGAAAUUGACAUAUUGACAGCCAGACAAAAGGUCUCUCAACAGCAGCCAAAGGAGAAAGUUGAUGGGGUGGAUAGAGGGCCGAGGAGUAGAAGGAGGUGUGGUUGUGAUAGAACCGCAAUUGCACUGCAGUUUGAUGGCGGCGUCAAAAAUAAACAAACAUUGCGACAGCAAUAAAAUAUCAAGCGACCAAAAAAAAAAAAAAA
Molecule: long non-coding RNA, 1108 nt
Organism: Drosophila willistoni
Lineage: Eukaryota; Metazoa; Arthropoda; Insecta; Diptera; Drosophilidae
Exons: 3
Source: RefSeq, a predicted model, not a curated record